UCGUACAACCGGGGAGGUAGCGGUGCCCUGAAUCCGCAAUCCGCUAUAGCGGAGGUGAUACCCCCUUUGAGGGUUGUUUUCUGUAUGGCAGUGUUUUGCAAGUGGUUAUGACAAACGGGUCUUGCGCAACGGCGGCCUGUGAACCUCGUCAGGUGGGGAACCAAGCAGCGAUAAGCAGUGUCCGCCGUGUGCCGCGAGGGUGCCUGUUUCGAGCUAACUGCAAUACCAACGCAUAUGGAAGACAAUUCGAUUUGGGGGUGUACGA
RNAcentral lists this signal recognition particle RNA (265 nucleotides) under Clostridiaceae bacterium. RNAcentral describes it as "signal recognition particle sRNA large type". It matches the Rfam family "Bacterial large signal recognition particle RNA". Rfam says of the family: The signal recognition particle (SRP) is a universally conserved ribonucleoprotein involved in the co-translational targeting of proteins to membranes. Archaeal SRP consists of a 7S RNA and homologues of the eukaryotic SRP19 and SRP54 proteins. The record is from RNAcentral. Lineage: Bacteria; Bacillati; Bacillota; Clostridia; Eubacteriales; Clostridiaceae.